This 76-nucleotide transfer RNA is filed under the name Brucella sp. 04-5288. RNAcentral's name for it is "tRNA-Ala". It matches the Rfam family "tRNA". From Rfam's summary of the family: Transfer RNA (tRNA) molecules are approximately 80 nucleotides in length. Their secondary structure includes four short double-helical elements and three loops (D, anti-codon, and T loops). The record is from RNAcentral. Lineage: Bacteria; Pseudomonadati; Pseudomonadota; Alphaproteobacteria; Hyphomicrobiales; Brucellaceae.
GGGGCUGUAGCUCAGCUGGGAGAGCGCGUCGUUCGCAAUGACGAGGUCAGGGGUUCGAUCCCCCUCAGCUCCACCG